Molecule: non-coding RNA, 488 nt
Organism: Peromyscus maniculatus bairdii (prairie deer mouse)
Lineage: Eukaryota; Metazoa; Chordata; Mammalia; Rodentia; Cricetidae
Source: RefSeq, a predicted model, not a curated record
CUCUGCCAUGCCAGGAACAUGCAGCAGGUUUACAAGUUAGGGCAGAGGUAUCCCUUUCAUCUGGCUGUCUCUGAAGUUUCUGGAAGAAGGGGUGAGGUCUACACACUGUGGUCGCCUUGACAACCAGGCAGGAGCAUCCAAAGAAACACCACUGUUGCUGGUACCUAUCUUCACCCGGAAUUCUCCCAGACAGAACGCGCUUUCCAUCACUGCCACAUUCUGGGUCAACGCCCUCAUUCUUUGCUCAGUAGUGCCCCCAUCAGGGCUCCUAUCAUCGUUACACCUCAGAGACCUGCACCCUGGCUGUGGGCAGCUGAAUACCAACAAGCACUCCUUAGGCAUGGAGUACUGACUUCAUCUGCUGGCUUCCAACACAGCAAUUUCAGAGGCCUCUCCCGGACACCAUCAAUGGCACAGAUACACACAGAUGCAGAACUCUCAGCUCCUUCUCCAGCACCAUGUCUGCCUGCAUUACACCAUGCUUCUUG